AGUAACACGUGGAUAAUCUACCCGACAGUCAGGGAUAACAUUUCGAAAGGAAUGCUAAUACCUGAUAAGCCUACGCCCUCUUCGGAGGAAGUAGGAAAAGGUGGGGACCUUCGGGCCUGCCGUUGUUGGAUGAGUCCGCGGCCCAUUAGCUAGUUGGUAGGGUAAUGGCCUACCAAGGCUACGAUGGGUAGCUGGUCUGAGAGGAUGAUCAGCCACACUGGAACUGAGACACGGUCCAG
RNAcentral lists this ribosomal RNA (239 nucleotides) under uncultured bacterium. Its description in RNAcentral is "partial 16S ribosomal RNA". It matches the Rfam family "Bacterial small subunit ribosomal RNA", at positions 109 to 334 of the family's 1533-position model. The record is from RNAcentral.